This 521-nucleotide ribosomal RNA is filed under the name uncultured bacterium. RNAcentral describes it as "bacterial SSU rRNA". It matches the Rfam family "Bacterial small subunit ribosomal RNA", at positions 120 to 674 of the family's 1533-position model. The record is from RNAcentral.
GGGAAUCUGCCCUUGGGUUCGGGAUAACCGUUGGAAACGACGGCUAAUACCGGAUGAUGUCGAUAAGACCAAAGAUUUAUCGCCCGAGGAUGAGCCCGCGUAGGAUUAGCUAGUUGGUGGGGUAAAGGCCUACCAAGGCGACGAUCCUUAGCUGGUCUGAGAGGAUGAUCAGCCACACUGGGACUGAGACACGGCCCAGACUCCUACGGGAGGCAGCAGUGGGGAAUAUUGGACAAUGGGCGAAAGCCUGAUCCAGCAAUGCCGCGUGAGUGAUGAAGGCCUUAGGGUUGUAAAGCUCUUUUACCCGGGAUGAUAAUGACAGUACCGGGAGAAUAAGCCCCGGCUAACUCCGUGCCAGCAGCCGCGGUAAUACGGAGGGGGCUAGCGUUGUUCGGAAUUACUGGGCGUAAAGCGCACGUAGGCGGCUUUGUAAGUUAGAGGUGAAAGCCCGGGGCUCAACCCCGGAAUUGCCUUUGAUACUGCAUGGCUUGAAUCCAGGAGAGGUGAGUGGAAUUCCGAGU